Molecule: ribosomal RNA, 406 nt
Filed under: uncultured bacterium
Lineage: Bacteria
Description: partial 16S ribosomal RNA
Rfam family: Bacterial small subunit ribosomal RNA
Source: RNAcentral
AUUGAACGCUGGCGGCAGGCCUAACACAUGCAAGUCGAACGAGUCGCGGACGGGUGAGUAAUGCCUGGGAAUCUAGCUUAUGGAGGGGGAUAACUACGGGAAACUGUAGCUAAUACCGCGUACCAUAGGAUGAGCCCAGGUGGGUUUAGGUAGUUGGUGAGGUAACGGCUCACCAAGCCGACGAUCCCUAGCUGGUCUGAGAGGAUGACCAGCCACACUGGGACUGAGACACGGCCCAGACUCCUACGGGAGGCAGCAGUGGGGAAUAUUGCGCAAUGGGCGCAAGCCUGAUGCAGCCAGGCCGCGUGGAUGAAGAAGGCCUUCGGGUUGGAAAGUUCUUUCGGUAGCGAGGCGUUACCUACAGAAGAAGCACCGGCUAACUCCGUGCCAGCCGCCGCGGUAAUAC